UACGUAGGGGGCAAGCGUUGUCCGGAAUCAUUGGGCGUAAAGAGCGCGUAGGCGGUCCGGUAAGUCGGUUGUGAAAACUGGGGGCUCAACCCUCAGAGGCCGACCGAUACUGUCGGGCUAGAGUCCGGAAGAGGCGAGUGGAAUUCCUGGUGUAGCGGUGAAAUGCGCAGAUAUCAGGAGGAACACCAAUGGCGAAGGCAGCUCGCUGGGACGGUACUGACGCUGAGGAGCGAAAGCGUGGGGAGCGAACAGG
RNAcentral lists this ribosomal RNA (253 nucleotides) under uncultured bacterium. Its description in RNAcentral is "partial 16S ribosomal RNA". It matches the Rfam family "Bacterial small subunit ribosomal RNA", at positions 524 to 776 of the family's 1533-position model. The record is from RNAcentral.